ACGUUAAGGGCGUCGAGCGGCGGACGGGUGAGUAAUGCCUAGGAAGUUGCCCAGUAGAGGGGGAUAACCAUUGGAAACGAUGGCUAAUACCGCAUAACCUCUUCGGAGCAAAGCAGGGGACCUUCGGGCCUUGCGCUAUUGGAUACGCCUAGGUGGGAUUAGCUAGUUGGUGAGGUAAGGGCUCACCAAGGCGACGAUCCCUAGCUGGUCUGAGAGGAUGAUCAGCCACACUGGAACUGAGACACGGUCCAGACUCCUACGGGAGGCAGCAGUGGGGAAUAUUGCACAAUGGGCGAAAGCCUGAUGCAGCCAUGCCGCGUGUGUGAAGAAGGCCUUCGGGUUGUAAAGCACUUUCAGCAGUGAGGAAGGUGGUAAGAUUAAUACGCUUAUCAUUUGACGUUAGCUGCAGAAGAAGCACCGGCUAACUCCGUGCCAGCAGCCGCGGUAAUACGGAGGGUGCGAGCGUUAAUCGGAAUUACUGGGCGUAAAGCGCAUGCAGGUGGUGAGUUAAGUCAGAUGUGAAAGCCCGGGGCUCAACCUCGGAAUUGCAUUUGAAACUGGCUCACUAGAGUACUGUAGAGGGGGGUAGAAUUUCAGGUGUAGCGGUGAAAUGCGUAGAGAUCUGAAGGAAUACCAGUGGCGAAGGCGGCCCCCUGGACAGAUACUGACACUCAGAUGCGAAAGCGUGGGGAGCAAACAGGAUUAGAUACCCUGGUAGUCCACGCCGUAAACGAUGUCUACUUGGAGGUUGUGGCCUUGAGCCGUGGCUUUCGGAGCUAACGCGUUAAGUAGACCGCCUGGGGAGUACGGUCGCAAGAUUAAAACUCAAAUGAAUUGACGGGGGCCCGCACAAGCGGUGGAGCAUGUGGUUUAAUUCGAUGCAACGCGAAGAACCUUACCUACUCUUGACAUCCAGAGAACUUUCCAGAGAUGGAUUGGUGCCUUCGGGAACUCUGAGACAGGUGCUGCAUGGCUGUCGUCAGCUCGUGUUGUGAAAUGUUGGGUUAAGUCCCGCAACGAGCGCAACCCUUAUCCUUGUUUGCCAGCACUUCGGGUGGGAACUCCAGGGAGACUGCCGGUGAUAAACCGGAGGAAGGUGGGGACGACGUCAAGUCAUCAUGGCCCUUACGAGUAGGGCUACACACGUGCUACAAUGGCGCAUACAGAGGGCGGCCAACCAGCGAUGGUGAGCGAAUCCCAAAAAGUGCGUCGUAGUCCGGAUUGGAGUCUGCAACUCGACUCCAUGAAGUCGGAAUCGCUAGUAAUCGUAGAUCAGAAUGCUACGGUGAAUACGUUCCCGGGCCUUGUACACACCGCCCGUCACACCAUGGGAGUGGGCUGCAAAAGAAGUGGGUA
This 1356-nucleotide ribosomal RNA is filed under the name Vibrio aestivus. Its description in RNAcentral is "bacterial SSU rRNA". It matches the Rfam family "Bacterial small subunit ribosomal RNA", at positions 79 to 1432 of the family's 1533-position model. The record is from RNAcentral. Lineage: Bacteria; Pseudomonadati; Pseudomonadota; Gammaproteobacteria; Vibrionales; Vibrionaceae.